UUUUUGUUGUUGUUGUUUGUAUUUUUAGUAGAGAUGAAGUUUCACCAUGUUGGUCAGGCUGGUUUCGAACUCCUGACCUUGUGAUCCGCCUGCCUCAGUCUCCCAAAGUGCUGGGAUUACAGGCGUGAGCCACCGCGCCCGGACAGAAUCUUUUUUAUUGUGAUAAAAAAAAAAAACCAUAAAAUUUACCAUCUUAACCUUUUGUUUGUUUGUUUUGUUUUGUUUUGUUUUGUUUUGAGAUGCAGUCUUGCUCUGUUGUCUAGGCUGCAGUGCAGUGGCGGGAUCUCGGCUCACUGCAACCUCUGUCUCCCGGGUUCACGCCAUUCUCCAGCCUCAGCCUCCAGAGUAGCAGGGACUACAGGCUCCCGCCACUACGCCCAGGCAACUUUUUAUAUUUUUAGUAGAUAGUGGUUUCACCGUGUUAGCCAGGAUGGUCUCAAUCUCCUGACCUCGUGAUCCACCCGCCUUGGCCUCCCAAAGUGCUGGGAUUACAGGCGUGAGCCACUGCGCCCAGCCCAUCUUAACCAUUUUUAAGUGCACAGUUCAGUAGGCUUAGGUAUAUUUACAUUGUUGUGCAACUAAUCUCCAGAACUUUUUCAUCUUGCAAAACUGAAGCUGAACCCCUUAAACAACUCCUCUUCCCCACCCUCUCCCCAGCCCCUGGUAAGCCGUCUUAUUGGUUUGUUUGCUUUGAAUGAAGACUGUCUGCUUUCUGUCUCUACAUUUUGUCUUUUUGAUUUUGACUAACUUAAGGACCUCGUAUAAGUGGAAUCAUGUACUAUUUGUGUUUUUGUGAGUGGUUUAUUUCACUUAGCAUAAUGUCCUUCAGUUUCAUCUAUGUGUAGCAUGAGACAGGAUGUCUUUUUUUAAGUAUUCCAUUGCAUGUAUAUACAACAUUUUGUUUGUCCACUCAUCUGUCAAUGGAAAUUUGGGUUGUUAUCACUUCUUGGCUGUUAUGAAUAGUGCUGCUAUAAACAUAGGCAUGCAAAUGUGUCUUCAAGAGUAUCAUGGAAUCCUAUAACAAAAAACCUUGAGAGCUAGAAUAGCCUUAGAGUCACAGUAAUUUGGUCCUACUCUGUCCUUUUACAGAUGAGCACACUGAGGUUGGACCAGUUAUGUGACUUACCCAUGGUAAAAUGAUUUGGUGAUAAAAAUCACUAACGCUUUUUCAAACAUUUAAAAAAAAAUUUUUUUUGAGACAGAGUCUCACACUGUCACCUGGGCUGGAGUGCAGGGGUGCAAUCUCAGCCCACUGCAACCUAUGCCUCCCAGGUUCAAGCGAUUCUCCUUGCCUCAGCCUCCCAAGUAGCUGGGAUUACAGGUGCCUGCCACCAAGCCUGGCUAAUUUUUUUUGUAUUUUUAGUAAAGACGGGGUUUCACCAUGUUGGUCAGGCUGGUCUUGAACUCCUGACCUCGUGAUCCACCCGCCUCGGCCUCCUAUAGUGCUGGGAUUACAGGUGUGAGCCACCGUGUCCAGUCAUCACUAACACUUUAAAAGGAUACAGUGAGCCAGACCCUUGGCUGAGUACAUGACCUGUAGUAUGUUAGUUAGCCCUCACCAAUAAAACCUCUGAAAUAGAUACUAGUACCAUCUCCAUUUUAAAGAUAACAAAACUGAAGUGCAAAGAGAUUAAGAUUAUAUAUAUAUAUAUAUAUACACACACACACACACACACACACACACAC
Molecule: long non-coding RNA, 1686 nt
Filed under: Macaca fascicularis (crab-eating macaque)
Lineage: Eukaryota; Metazoa; Chordata; Mammalia; Primates; Cercopithecidae
Description: lncRNA (ENSMFAG00000064604.1)
Source: RNAcentral